GCCGGCUUAGCUCAGUUGGUUAGAGCGCGCCCUUCGUAAGGGUGAGGUCGCGAGUUCGAAUCUCGCAUUCGGCU
Gracilariopsis chorda is the source of this 74-nucleotide non-coding RNA. NCBI's taxonomy places the organism in Eukaryota, Rhodophyta, Florideophyceae, Gracilariales, Gracilariaceae. The record is from the annotation of a GenBank genome assembly.